AUGAUAUUUAUACUACCAUUUUGUAACAAGUUUUGUGACAAUUUUCUCUCUCAUAUUCACAUAUGUUUUUACUUUAUCUCUCUAUUGCUUUGAUUUUCGUGCCAAAACCUACUUUUCCUUUGUAAAUUUAUGGUUGUCAAAUAAAUUGUCUAUCAAAUGGUUGUUCAAAUAACACACCUCUUAUUUUUUUUGUUAUAGGUCAAUUGAUAGGUUAUAAUUGAUCCUAAAUUUUUAGUCUCUUGAUUCGGACGACACCACUAAAAUUGUUCCCCAGAUUCUCUUCUUUAUGGAAGCAAGUUAUUUCCAUUUGACCAACACGAGUUGCUUGUAGAUUUACAUUUACUAAUUUAUUCGAUUUUUUUACCAAAUAACUUAUCUCACCAACCUGUCGGCUUUCCCUAUCUUAUAUUUUAUAUAUACACAUACAAACUAUGUAUAUGAUAAAUUGGUUUGGUUUUAAACUAUAAAUAUUACAUAUGUAGAUAACAUGCAAGUCCCUAUCAACAUAAAUAUAAACUAUAAGUCAAAGAAAUUUCAGUCGGUUCUAGAGAAUAUUAAUACUUGACAAGGGAGGGGUCUGUUUUGGGAGAAUAUUUUGAUCAGUUUCUUCAAAAAAAGGUUACGUGGAGAAUAAAAAAAUUAUGAACGGAAGCUUUUCAUCUCUUUAAGAUAAUAAGAAAAUAAAUACUAACGAGUUCUAAAGAUACAUGACCCAUUUUUAUUUACAUUAUGGUGGAGUAUAUUUCAAUAUACUCUUUUUAUUUGUGUAGAAUUUGUAUCGGAUUCAUAUAAUUUAGUGUCGGUUAUAUGAAUUUCAACAAAUAAAUAUAGUAUAUUGAAAUAUGGGUUAGGUUAGAAAUAUCAGCAAGAUUUAUUUUAACACCGACUCUCUUAUUGAUAGAAAUAUAUGUAAAUGACAUCACUUUAAAAAUGAUUUUCACAUACAAGUUUUUAGC
This 956-nucleotide long non-coding RNA is filed under the name Medicago truncatula (barrel medic). Its description in RNAcentral is "lncRNA gene29539". Lineage: Eukaryota; Viridiplantae; Streptophyta; Magnoliopsida; Fabales; Fabaceae. The record is from RNAcentral.